Molecule: long non-coding RNA, 2423 nt
Organism: Malania oleifera
Lineage: Eukaryota; Viridiplantae; Streptophyta; Magnoliopsida; Santalales; Ximeniaceae
Exons: 4
Source: RefSeq, a predicted model, not a curated record
UUUUUUAGCUGCACUUUUGUAGACCGCCGCUCUGUGGUAUUCUAAGCCGCAGGUAAUGAAGCCCAUUUUGCAGCAGUUUGCUGAAAUGCUAGUCGGACCGCUACCUUCUCCCAAAUCGAAGCUGAAAACCCUUUGUCUCAACGCCAUAAUCCAAAUCAAAGAUCCUAACUCGUCGUUUGAUCUUUCACGCUUCAUCUGCGCACUCUCUCACUCAUUUCCCUUUUGAAACUCGCUGUUCGAUCUCUUACGCCUCAUCUGCGCACCCUCUCACUCAUUUCCCUCUUGAAACUCGCUGUUUGAUUUCUCUCCCUUUUAAAAAACAAGUUUCCGACCCUCUUAAAAUCUCAGAGCAGGUUUUCGACCCUCUUAAAAUCGCAGGUGAAGUGUACCUUUUUAGGUGUGUCUCCUUCUUCCACAAAAAGCUUACCACAUUAAACCCUCUUAGUUCCCUCUCGAACAGCAAAUUUUCACGUGCCUCACCGCUCAGUUCGCUAACUCCUUCCCUGGUCGACACCCUUUGGAAAUCACAGAUGAAUCGAAUGUACAAAUGAGGAGAGAGGAUUUACCUACAUGUCAAAGAUAUGGAAUUUUCCUCCAGCCCAACAAAUUGUUGUGAAGUUUAACAAAUUCUUCCAAGUUGUUGGCACCGAAUGUUCUUUUCUUUACAGAUUCAUAAGCACCGAUUGAUUGCUUUAAAUUGCGCAAGAUGGAUCCAACCUAUAAAGACUCUUGCUAGAAAAUUCUUGAGUUGGAGAAGCAUGGGAUAACUCCUACAAGAGGAAACUUGUAUGUGUCACUUCAUACAAAGAAGGAUGGCACUCCUAUCUCAAGAAAGGCUGCAGAAAACAUAAUACAUUCUUUUCACUUUUCCAUAAUUAAUUUCUAAAUUUGGUGCAAAAACUAACUUCUUUAUGUUCUCUUUUCAUAAUAUAAUAUAAAGAAAAAUUUGAAAGCUUUAAUGGAAGAGGAAGAAGGACGGGAAGAUAGCUCAAGGUAAGAUUCAAUGUGGACCCUUGAUGAUAUUUUUGCUAAGAUAAUAGGAAAGGAAAGGCAUGGUCGUGUUUGCAGUCCAGGCUUAGGUGCAACUCCUUCUAUGCUCAGUGGAUCAACCGCAGAUAUUUUUGAGUCAAUAGAGGAGAUGCGUGUGCAGGAACUUUUGAAAGAUGAACUAAUGAAAGUACUUAUUGAGAGAGCAUCUUCUUUAGAGAUAAUGGAGGAACAAACCCAAAGGAAGAUAGCCAUAAUAAUAGAUAUUAUGUUAUCCAAUCAAAAUCAUGAUCGAUAUGCACAAGUUUGGUUUAUAAAAUUUGUCAAUAUUAGUUAUUGCUUGUUUAUUAAUUUUUAACAAGUUACUUGUUCCUAAUGUAGAUUCAAGUUUUGGCAAGUGGCAGUAAUUUUGAAUCUCCUGGUGCAUGUGGAUGUUCCUUAGGAAGCACUGAGCAUUGUGAUAAUCUAUCGUAUAGUUCAAGUUUGUUUUUACUUUAUCUUCUUUUACAUAAAAAAAUAAUCACUAAGAAAUUCUUUCCCUUGUUCUACUUCUAACUUCAAACAAAGGAUAAAGAACAUCCGAACCAUAAUCAAAUUUAGGAGGAAUAUACUUUGUCAUUGAGGUGAGUUCUUGAGCUCUUUUGUAAAACUGAUUUAAUUUCACAAUUUGGUUUCGAUUAUUUUGCUAUUUAGAUUUUUUUUUUUUUGUUGUUAUUAUUGGAUUAAGCCUAUGUAUCAGCAUUUUCCUUGCCAUCAUGCCUAAGCAACCUAUCACGGUUUUCCUCAUCACCCGGGCAUCACUUGUUCCAUUGUUCCAAAAGUUUAUGUGAAAAUGCUUAAAGAAGCCCACAACACUGAUUUUAAUUUCUUGUGAUUAACCAAACACUUUUAGACGUUUCCUCCUUGUCUAUAAGUCCAGUUGCAGUUAUGAUUUUGUGUUUAGUUGGUUAUGGUGGCUUAUCUAUUGUUAUGAUGUUGCGCCGUUAUUUUUUAUUUUUUUAUUUUUUGCUGCUUAGUGAUGCUUUUGGGGGGCUAUGAUUCCCGUGUUGUAGAUUUGUACUUGUAUCUACUGACCUAGGAUGAGUUUUUUUCUUACUCAUUUGUUGUUUGAUCUUGUGUUAACUACAGGUCCUUUGUCUAAGAUAUUCAUAGAGAGCCAAAGGAAAAUCAUGGUUGCUGCCCUGCCAGGUGUGAUUGAGUUCUGAUUGCUCUAGCUGCAGCAUAUAUGGCUUUGUAGUCGUGCAUUUGUCCGAGGCACUUUUUGGUUGGAGCAAGAAUAUUGUGAAGAUUGGAGAGCAUGUAUGAUUUUAUUUUUUGGGACCAAAACAAGUCCAAGUGAUGUGCAGCAGCUUUUUGAUGAUUUAUUAUUUUUUGGGACCAAAACAAUUGCAUGUGCUUGGAGAUUACGUAUAAAUAGAUUCAAGUUGUUAAUGUUA